GGGGGAAGGAGUAAGUGGAGACAGGGGAGGGAGUCAGACAGCAGUAAAUAAAGAGAUAGAUUGUUCUGAAUUAGGAGUUUAGUUUCUGGUUAAGUUUAGGCAUAAAGUUACGUUGUUAAGUUUCAGGCUGGUGCGAGGUUCAGGUCAGGGUUUGAGGUUCGGUAAAAUGUGUUUUGAAAGGUCAUGAAGACAUGUUGUGUGUGUCUUUAUGUUUCACUAAUGUUUUGCCCACCAAGGACCACCAGGAGUAAUACGACUGUGAUCAAAGUGUAAACGUCCACCAGGAGUAAUACAGGUAUGAUCACAGAACCAACGUCCACCAGGAGUAAUACAGGUAUGAAUGAUCACAGAACCAACGUCCACCAGGAGUAAAACCGGUAUGAUCACAGAACCAACAUCCACCAGGAGUAAUACAGGUAUGAUCACAGAACCAACGUCCACCAGGAGUAAUACAGGCAUGAUCACAGAACCAACGUCCACCAGGAGUAAUACAGGUAUGAUCACAAAACCAACAAUGUCUCUUCUUUUUCCACCUUUCCGACCCACUCUGAAGCUCUCUCCCUCCGAUUCUCUCUGUCCCCACAUUGCCUCUUUCUGUUCAACUCUCCUAUGCGGGAUCAGGUUUCCUUUGAUAUGACAUUACGGGACCUCAGUGAAGGGUGCCGCGGGACGUAGAGUAAUAAUGGGGGAGGUUGAUGGGUGAGUUCUUCCCAACCACUGCGGAUCAGUUUCUUGUUAUGGCUUCCUCUUG
Molecule: long non-coding RNA, 751 nt
Organism: Esox lucius (northern pike)
Lineage: Eukaryota; Metazoa; Chordata; Actinopteri; Esociformes; Esocidae
Source: Ensembl